UGGGAAAGAAUAACAAGGUGACCUGAGGAA
RNAcentral lists this non-coding RNA (30 nucleotides) under Rattus norvegicus (Norway rat). Lineage: Eukaryota; Metazoa; Chordata; Mammalia; Rodentia; Muridae. The record is from RNAcentral.